This is a non-coding RNA of Arvicanthis niloticus (Nile rat), 172 nucleotides long. NCBI's taxonomy places the organism in Eukaryota, Metazoa, Chordata, Mammalia, Rodentia, Muridae. The record is from RefSeq and is a predicted model, not a curated record.
AUACUUACCUCGAAGGGUUGAUACCGUCAUCGCCAAGGUGGUUUUCCAAGGACAAGCUUUUGUCAUCAUAUUCUAGAUGUGCUAACCCUUGUAAUUUUCCUGAAGGUGCUAAAUGUGGGGAACUGGCUGCAUAAUUCGUGUUAGUAAAGAACUGAAAUAUCAUUUUCCUCUG